GGUGGUGGUGAACUCUAAAUGUAAGGAUACUUUAACGAUCAACCCUAUCUCACUUUCCAAUACGAGGUUGACAACACUUCUCUUAUUAUUGGAUGACCCAUUUAUAAACAUGUUCUAUGUUGUCCCCAUAUGUAAAUAUUUGAACCUUUAGUGCCUUCCUUGGCUAGAAUAAGACGUUGAAUUCGAAGAUCUCAACAUACCACUUUGUCAUCUCUCCUAUGAGAUCAGAUAUGCGGAAAACCUACUUAAGGGGUAAGUAGGUUAGGACGGCGACGACUUUCUUGAGCCUUUUACUAAUGCUAACACGAUAUAUUUUUUUUUAUCUUUUGGUAGCAUGUUUAUGACCCUGUCAGCGCUUUAAAUAUAAAGUAUAUUGGGAUUUGGACAGAGCCCGCUUUUUCGAUGAGAAUGACACUGACUAUUUCAAUUGAUAUUGCUAUGUAGAGGAACAAGGUCUCCUCGAUAGUUGGUCUACAUAGGACUGGAGAGGGUAGAAAGGGUUGCUUUUAAUGAUGCAAAUGCUUAUUCGAACUACAGGGUACACUCAAAGUGUGAUUCUUUCUUCACCAACCUGUAGAACAACAAAACGUGUUAACAUGAUCACAAGAUGAACCUAUUUAGGGUCGUGGGCACCCUGUUUAGUUUCAUUAUCCCUUUCUUUGUAAUUGGAGUUUCCAUUUUUAUCAUUGAUUCACACUUGUUUUAGUUAACUUUUAUGCCUCUCUCUAUUAAGUAAAAACCAAAAAAUUUACUUGUUAUAACCCCAAAGAGGCAUUUCUCGGGGUUAAGCCUCAUAUUAUAUUGUUAAACUCGCCUGAACACGUUGGUGAGGUGAUCAUUGUGUUGUUCUUCUUUGUUGAAUUUUACGAUCAUGUCGUCCAUGCAUACUUAUAGUGUUUCUCUGAUCUCUUCUUCGAUGAACCAAAAAUAAGUGAUGUUGAAGGCGUAAGAUCUUAUGAUAUAAUAGUAAUGACUUUUAAUACGGAGGAGCCGGAAGAACCUGUAAAGUUAACACCUCAAUGUUUAAGUUAGUGAAGUCUAAGACAUGUAGUUCGAGAAUGAGAAUGAGGUCAUGCUUGUAAUUAGCGAGUGAAAAGGUUUACUUUUUUGAUGUGAUUGAAAUUGACGGUGUCUAACCCUCGUAUGACGUGGGAGUCAUCCGAUCAUAUUUAACGAAAUGUGAUGCUUGAAAUAAAAAUUAGAUUUUUGUAUAUUUGAUUUUGAAAUAAAAUUUCAUUCUAUUCAAAGUUAGAAAUGUAUGUGUAUCGAUUCAGCUUUGAAUGACUACUUAAAAUCCAAAUUAGUCUAAUUUAAUUAAUACAAUUUAUUUUAGAUUGCUUUUUGUAUAUCCAAAUUUACAAUUUACUGGAUUGGUAAUACUAUAUAAACAUGCGAUAAAAUAAUAGAUUUGAUAUAGAAUAUAAAUUAUAUAUUAAAAUUAAUAAUUAUAAUAUAUAUUACUAUAUUAUAUAUUAUAUAAUAUUAUAUAUAUAAAUAUAUAUAUAUAUAUAUUAGUUAAGUUAAUAUUUUUUAUUAAAAAAAUUUAAAACUACCAAAGUUAAUGUAAUAUAUGAUAAUUAUAUAAAAAGUAAAAUAACUUAAAAUAUAUAAUUUUUGAUUUGGUAUAAUUUUGUAAAUUUAAUUUUAUAUUCGUAUUUUUAAUUUUAUGUCUUUAUAAAAUGGCAUAAAACACAUUCAAUAUUAUUUAAUUUUUUUGCGACUUUUAAUCUUUUUAAUUGAUUUAUAAUUUUAAUUUAAAUUAAUUUAAAUUUAAGAAAAAAAUAAAUAUAUAUUAACAAUGUACCGUCAAUCAAUAAAGAAUGUGUAUUCCAUCAAAUCACAUUUUAUUUUAAAUAUACAAUAUUAUAUAAUUAAAUAUUAAAAUUUUCUUAGAUAAUAAUAUAAAACUAUUUUACGUGUAUAAUAUACUAUUUUUAAUCUUUAAAUUUAAACACCCUUGACGUGGGUGAGAAAUCGAAACGCAAUCAGAAAUUAUCCGAGCCAAAACUUCUAUCAUUUGUAUUAGUUUAUUUAGUAUAUAUUUUUCUUAAAUAUAUAUUUUUUCUCAUAUUUUAAUUUUUUAAUUAUUUACUCUUUCUAUAAAACUCACAAAAAUUGGUUGGAUGUAUAUAUGAGAAUCAAAUUUUGGCUCUCAUAAUUGUGUGAAUUUUUAAUAGUUAUUUGUGAUUGAUUGAUUAAAAAUGUUGACUCACAGAAGUUUUUCUAUACAAGAUUAUUUUUUAUUGAUUUAUUAACAAUAUAUAAAAAAAUAUUAUCUUAAGCUUAAAUGGAUAAUAUAUUUUCUAACACAUACACGUAAGAUAUGGUCAGAUUCAUUCAAUGAGGGCUAAGAAAAUGAUAUUCUCCCCCAUUAAAAGAUAGAAAAAAGAACAUAUAAUUUAAAAUAAUUUUAUCAGAUAAAUCUAUCAACAACAACUAUGUAUAUUUUAUCACAUUACACUUUACUUUUAAAAUUACAUUUAUUAGAAAUGAAUAAUUUUUUAUUGAAUAAAAGUGUAAAAUUACUUAAACUAUCUUUAAUCUCUUAAAAAAAAUCUUAUUCAUUUAAAAACUAUUUUAAAAUUUCUCAUUGGCGAUCAGUGGCAUAAAAACCUUUCAGUUCUUUCUCUCCUUCACAAUUGUGCAAAAUUUCAGGUUUUCUCCUUCUUCCUCUCUUUCAAACCAUUUUCCUACUUCUUCUUUCUCUCGUUUUCGCUCUUAACUGUUUUUUUCACUAACUGUAACAUUUUAAUUUUUGAAGCUAUGGUGGGAGGUGGUGGCAGUAAUUCUGAUAUCUCCUUUGCCGGCACUUUCGCCAGUAGUGCUUUCUCUGCAUGUUUCGCUGAGGUACAUAUAUAUGCAUGUCUCUAUAUAUUCAUUCCCUUUUCUUUAGGUUUUCAUUAGAUUGGGAAUUCUCUUUACUGUGUAAUCUGUUUUUGUUAUGUUCUUGUUGUGUAAAAACUACUAUGUAGCACUGACACAUCUUAAAAAAGCGUCUCUAUGUUUCAGACACUUGCGAUACACUUGCACAUAUACUUAUUUUUUUAAAUUAUUAUCGGUGUCUCUAUGUCAGUGUCUAUUCAUGUUCGGGGAGUCGGUGCUUAGUAGUGUGAAACCUGUUUGGGUUUUUGAAUUUGAACCUAUUGUUUUUUGUUGUGUAUUAAAGGAUCCUACUUAAAUUGUGUUUUGACUGUGAUGGACUUUGAUUUGUGUGUUUUUAAUGUUCUGGGAAUUUGUGCUUUUGUUGUGGCAUUCGAUGUUGACAGGUUGUUGUAAUCGGAGAAAAUUAUGUAAACGUAACCUCACAUGUCUUGUGUUGUAUCAGACAUGGAGGCAUCUUGGACCUAAAGUGUUGGUGUUACAUAGAUCUAUAGUAGUAGGUCAGAAAAUUGGAUGAACUAGUGAAUGUGAUUUUUUGUAGUUAUCUAAGUUGCAUUUUUUUUCUUUUACUUUGAUUAUUACUACCCUUUUGCUUGGUCAGAGUUAAGUUGAAUAUGAGUUGGUGUGCAAAUUUGUUUUUGAUGGUAAGCUUUUCAUGAAGGUUGGCUCAAUUUGUGGUUGAGCGUAUCCAAUUGCUAGUGGUUAGUCUUAGCGGGUGUUUGGAUUGACGGUGAGUUUGGCAGAAGCACGAUGAUUUUGGCAAAACCUAAAAUUUGGAGAUUCAAUAGAAUUAUAGUUCUGCUGUGACUUCUCAAACUCACUGUGAUUCCAACACAUGUAUAGGCACAUAGGAAAUGUUUUUGUCAAGGGCUCUUGUGUUAUUAAAGGAUUUUGCUUUAAACUCAUGGCUGUUAUUUUCAAGAUGUAAUAUUGAUUAAUUACGAUUGGUCUAUGCUCGGUGAUUUGUAGUUGCAGAUCUUGGAAUUGGAUGUUGGGAUAAAUUGAUUGUUUUGUUGAAAGUCUUAAUUAUCUGUUUGGGAGGAUUUUUUUUGAAAAUGCUGUAUUUGAUAUUCGCUGACUGAAUCAGCAGUGAAGAAUGGCACAAUAGUUGAAUAGUUUCCAUAAAUUUUCCUAUGCAACAAUUUUCGAUUUAUUCACAAAUUUUCCUUGUUUAAGGAGAUCGAUUCAGCUUAUCGUAUAUAAACUAUGCUGUUUUGCACGUUCCGUUUGCUUGUUAGAUGUCAUGUUGUAGUGCUUUUUCAAGAAUUCGUUCUAACGUAUAUUGAAUAUUACAUCCUCAAAUUUAUCUUUGAUAUAGAUAUGUACUAUUCCUCUGGACACUGCCAAAGUUAGGCUUCAGCUUCAAAAGCAAGCUGUAGCCGGUGACACGAUAAACUUACCUAAAUAUAAGGGAAUGCUGGGAACAGUUGGAACCAUUGCCAGGGAAGAGGGUCUUUCAGCGCUCUGGAAGGGAAUUGUGCCAGGGUUACACCGUCAAUGUUUGUAUGGAGGUUUAAAAUUCAUUGGGUCUGAUACGCAGCCUCGUGAGUAUUGACUGUGUCUCAAGAUUGUUUAUUUAUUUGAGUUCAUAUAUCUACUUUUAGCGUAUGCAAUUGAUUGUUUGAAUUAUUUGGGAUAUUUAACAGGUUAAGAAUUUGUAUGUUGGGAAAGACCAUGUUGGAGAUGCUCCAUUGGUGAAAAAAUUCUCGCUGCAUUAACAACUGGUAAAUCCAAUUAUAUUUCUCCUAAAGCUCUCAAUACAUAAUGCGUAAUCAUGAUACAAACCUGUUUGAUUUUUCUUUAUCAACAGGCUGCUGUAGCAAUUGCAGUGGCAAAUCCUACAUCUUGUCAAAGUUAGACUUCAAGCAGAAGGAAAAUUGCCUCCUGGCGUGCAAGGCGCUACACUGGAUCAUUGAAUGCUUAUUCAACAAUUGUGAAACAGGUAUUUUCCUUUAACCUUCUAUGAUUUGUGAAAGAUAAAGAUGAUUUUAGUCCUUUUCUAUGAUCCAAACUCAUAAUUAGUCUUGUUUAAUCUCUAUCAAACAAUCAGAGGGAGUCAGAGCAUUUGGACUGGCAUUGGCCCAAUGUCGCAAGAAAUGCUAUCAUUAAUGCUGCUGAGCUAGCCAGCUAUGAUCAAGUGAAAGAGUAAUGUAAAAGAUACUAAACUGCGUUUUUAGUUAAAUUUUGCUAUUACUCCAAUUUCAUUUAUUUUAAUAGCCUGUUUUUUUCCUUCUACUGCAGACCAUUUUGAAAAUUCCAGGCUUCACCGAUAACGUUGUUACACCUCUUCUUCUGUCUUGGGCGGGUUUUUUUGCAGGUGCUGUAUUGGCUCCCCAGUUGACGUGGUAAUUUAUCAGUGUUUACUUGUGAAUAUCAAUGUUUGAUUGUGCACUUUUUAUUGUCUCAUCAUGUAUCUAUAGUGUGUUAACUAUAUGUACUACAUUCAGUUGCUUGGUGAGCUUCUAAACUAUGCAGUUUUGCCUUUUCCCUAAUUCAAUUUUUCGAAUUUCUUCUUCAGGUGAAGUCAAGAAUGACGGAGAUCCUAGUUACAAAAGCACCAUUGAUUGUUUCGUCAAAACAUUAAAAAUGAUGUAUGGUUUUUUCUGCUAUAUUACUUUUCCCUUUUCUUUUAUUUAAGCAUUAAUUGUAUAAAACAAAAUACUUCACAGAACUUGAUCAUAUCAAAUGAUAAGAGGUGGGUGCUUGGAGUAUUAUCUGCAACCAUUGCAAAUUGAACUAACAUCAUUUGAACUUUCAGUUUUCAUGGCAUCUUUAAACAUUCUCAUUUCUCACGCCUGCUUAUAUGCUAACAUAAAACUGUUCACUUUCAUUCUUACGUUACAUAAUAUGCUUUUUUUCUUUGCAACUCUCUGUUGUGGAAUGUGAAGGAAUUCUCCAAUAACUUAUUGUUUUAAUUGGAGAAAUAUUGAAAUCGGUAUGUCAUUUGAUUGUUUUGCAGGGACCUUUAGCCUUUUAUAAGGGAUUCUACCAAAUUCGACGGCUAGAUCUUGGAAUGUGAUCAUGUUUUUAACUCUCUAGAACAGGUAUGAGUUGAGUACCUUUGUGAUAAUCCAAAAUUUGGAUCAAAAUAAAAUAACAAUUUUUUAAUUUAAUCAAAACCAAACAUGUUCCAACUGUUGUUAUGAACGUACCCAAGGCAUUGAUAGUGACAAUUUAUCGUGUUAAUUGACUAUGUUCUUUGUUCUAACAUACAUUCUCACAAUUAACCUACAAAUUUUGCUGUUUUAAUUCCUAUGUUUUUUGUUUUGACGCAGACUAAAAAGUUUGUCAAAAGUUUGGAAUCGGCCUAAGCUCAACUAAGUAAGAGUAGAAUUUUAUGAGAAUGGUCUCAGGUGGUGGUGCUAACAGAAAUCACAGGAAAAUAAAACUUUUGUUCUCUUGAUUUUCCCUACUGGAAUGUGUGGGCAGUUUUGGGCGGAGUAGAAAUUAAGUAAUUAAGUAUUAAUAAAUGAUUAAACUUUUCAAGUAUGCUAGUUGUUAAAGUUUCAAAUCACUGUUUUAUUUCUUUGUAAUUUUCUUGCAAUUUUACUGAGCUGAAUAACUGUUAUGGGAAGUUUGACAAGAAACGCAACAAUACUAAGUGGCAACAUAUAUCGUUUAUAAAUCUAAUAAUCAUGCACUCUAUGUUAGUAGUAAUUU
Molecule: long non-coding RNA, 6540 nt
Filed under: Lathyrus oleraceus (garden pea)
Lineage: Eukaryota; Viridiplantae; Streptophyta; Magnoliopsida; Fabales; Fabaceae
Description: Pisum sativum (pea) long non-coding RNA (PSAT_LNC010846)
Source: RNAcentral